Molecule: long non-coding RNA, 249 nt
Filed under: Populus tremula
Lineage: Eukaryota; Viridiplantae; Streptophyta; Magnoliopsida; Malpighiales; Salicaceae
Description: long non-coding RNA (PTRE_LNC001653)
Source: RNAcentral
CUCGAAAGACAGAAAGCUUUGCAACAAAGAGAUAUGGCUUCCCUGGCGGCAUCCAGAGCAGCUGCCUCCCUUGGAGUGUCUGAAAUGCUAGGAAACCCUCUCAACUUCAGUGGAGCCACCAGGUCUGCUUCUCCGACUGCAUCCACUCCUGCCACGUUCAAGACUGUUGCUCUCUUUUCCAAGAAGAAGCCUGCUCCUAAACCAAAGCCUUCUGCUGUUUCACCAGCUGAUGUGGAGCUCGCCAAGUGG